GCUCAUAAAUUAAUUUUGAGUGAGGCCUGCCCAGUGAAUCUUAAAUAAAAUUAUAAAAUAAUUUGUUAAUGAUUUAAACGGACGCGGUAACUCUGACCGUGAUAAUGUAGCAUAAUCAUUUGCUUCUUAAUUAGAGGAUAGUAUGAAUGGCUGAACGAAUAUUCCAUUUUUUUAAUAAAAAUUUUUUAAAAUUGAAAUAAUAGUUAAGAUACUAUUUAAAAUUGUAAGACGAAAAGACCCUGUAGAGCUUUACUAUUAUUUUUUUUAAUAUUUAAAAAGAGAGGUAGUUUAAUUGGGGCGAUUAUUUUUUAAAAUUACCGAAAAUAAGUAAAAUUAAUAUUUAAUUUAUUGUAUAAUUAAUUAAUUUAACAGUUACAAAAGUAGACUAUAAUGACCCAUUAAUAUUAUAAAUUAAGUUAAUGAUCAAUAAAUAAAAGUUACCUCAGGGAUAACAGGAUAAUUUUGUAUUAGAGCUCUUAUCGUAUACAAAGUUUAUCACCUCUAUGUUGAAUUAAGAUAUCCUAAUGAUGCAAAAGUUAUUGAGGGUAGGUCUGUUCGACCUUUAAAAUCUU
RNAcentral lists this ribosomal RNA (572 nucleotides) under Margelopsis hartlaubii. RNAcentral's name for it is "partial large subunit ribosomal RNA". It matches the Rfam family "Bacterial large subunit ribosomal RNA", at positions 1833 to 2597 of the family's 2925-position model. The record is from RNAcentral. Lineage: Eukaryota; Metazoa; Cnidaria; Hydrozoa; Anthoathecata; Margelopsidae.